Molecule: non-coding RNA, 32 nt
Filed under: Rattus norvegicus (Norway rat)
Lineage: Eukaryota; Metazoa; Chordata; Mammalia; Rodentia; Muridae
Source: RNAcentral
UAAGGGUGGUCAUAUAUCCCUUGUUUGGGCCU